CUACGGGCUGCUGCAGUGAGGAAUAUUGCACAAUGGGGGGAACCCUGAUGCAGCAACGCUGCGUGGAGGAUGACGCAUUUCGGUGUGUAAACUCCUUUUAUAUGUCAAGAAAAUGACGGUAGCAUAUGAAUAAGCACCGGCUAACUCCGUGCCAGCAGCCGCGGUAAUACGGAGGGUGCAAGCGUUACUCGGAAUCACUGGGCGUAAAGGACGCGUAGGCGGGUUGGAAAGUCAGGUGUGAAAUCCUACAGCUUAACUGUAGAACUGCACUUGAAACUUCUAAUCUAGAGUAUGGGAGGGGGAGAUGGAAUUAGUGGUGUAGGGGUAAAAUCCGUAGAUAUCACUAGGAGUACCUAAAGCGAAGGCGAUCUCCUGGAACAUUACUGACGCUAAGGCGUGAAAGCGUGGGGAGCAAACAGGAUUAGAUACCCGAGUAGUC
RNAcentral lists this ribosomal RNA (439 nucleotides) under uncultured bacterium. RNAcentral's name for it is "partial 16S ribosomal RNA". It matches the Rfam family "Bacterial small subunit ribosomal RNA", at positions 339 to 795 of the family's 1533-position model. The record is from RNAcentral.